CUUUUGGAUUUAUCAGUUCAUAGGAAUUCAUGGUCCCCUGUUGUCACCUAAGAACCAAGUAAGGGAGGGAUCUGUCAUGAAAGCUAAGACAGGCUCUCAAGUGAACCUUAUAUUUGUUGAACAUUUAUCUCCAACCCUGCCCCUCUCCACCACAGCCCUGGCUCUCCAAUCACAGCCCUGG
Long non-coding RNA from Microtus oregoni (creeping vole), 181 nucleotides. RefSeq lists it as uncharacterized. The record is from RefSeq and is a predicted model, not a curated record. NCBI's taxonomy places the organism in Eukaryota, Metazoa, Chordata, Mammalia, Rodentia, Cricetidae. The transcript is spliced from 3 exons.